RNAcentral lists this unclassified non-coding RNA (334 nucleotides) under soil metagenome. RNAcentral describes it as "partial contains 5.8S ribosomal RNA, internal transcribed spacer 2, and large subunit ribosomal RNA". The stretch from base 4 to 121 matches the Rfam family "5.8S ribosomal RNA", at positions 37 to 154 of the family's 154-position model. The record is from RNAcentral.
GAUUGAAGAACGCAGCAAAAUGCGAUAAGUAAUGUGAAUUGCAGAAUUCAGUGAAUCAUCGAAUCUUUGAACGCACAUUGCGCCCGCCAGUAUUCUGGCGGGCAUGCCUGUUCGAGCGUCAUUUCAACCCUCAAGCUCAGCUUGGUGUUGGGACUCGCGGUAACCCGCGUUCCCCAAAUCGAUUGGCGGUCACGUCGAGCUUCCAUAGCGUAGUAAUCAUACACCUCGUUACUGGUAAUCGUCGCGGCCACGCCGUAAAACCCCAACUUCUGAAUGUUGACCUCGGAUCAGGUAGGAAUACCCGCUGAACUUAAGCAUAUCAAUAAGCGGAGGA